RNAcentral lists this ribosomal RNA (858 nucleotides) under uncultured Methylomirabilota bacterium. RNAcentral describes it as "bacterial SSU rRNA". It matches the Rfam family "Bacterial small subunit ribosomal RNA", at positions 199 to 1034 of the family's 1533-position model. The record is from RNAcentral. Lineage: Bacteria; Methylomirabilota (SeqCode).
AACCAAAGGGGGCGAGCGUAAGCAGCUCUCACCGAAGGAGGAGCCUGCGUCCGAUUAGCUAGUUGGUGGGGUAAUGGCCUACCAAGGCGACGAUCGGUAGCCGGCCUGAGAGGGCGAUCGGCCACACUGGAACUGAGACACGGUCCAGACUCCUACGGGAGGCAGCAGUGGGGAAUAUUGCGCAAUGGGCGAAAGCCUGACGCAGCGACGCCGCGUGGGUGAUGAAGGCCUUCGGGUCGUAAAGCCCUGUCUGGUGGAACGAAACGCCUGGCGGCCAAUACCCGCUGGGUUUGACGGUACCACCGAAGGAAGCCCCGGCUAACUACGUGCCAGCAGCCGCGGUAAGACGUAGGGGGCGAGCGUUGUUCGGAUUUACUGGGCGUAAAGCGCGCGUAGGCGGCCAGAUAAGUCGGGUGUGAAAGCCCUCGGCUCAACCGAGGUUCCGCAUCCGAUACUGCUUGGCUGGAGUCUAGGAGAGGAGAGCGGAAUUCCAGUGUAGCGGUGAAAUGCGUAGAUAUUGGGAGGAACACCCGUGGCGAAGGCGGCUCUCUGGACUAGUACUGACGCUGAGGCGCGAAAGCUAGGGGAGCGAACGGGGUUAGAUACCCCGGUAGUCUUAGCCGUAAACGAUGGGCACUAGGUGUGGGAGGUAUUGACCCCUUCCGCGCCGAAGCUAACGCAUUAAGUGCCCCGCCUGGGGAGUACGGCCGCAAGGCUAAAACUCAAAGGAAUUGACGGGGGCCCGCACAAGCGGUGGAGCAUGUGGUUCAAUUCGACGCAACGCGAAGAACCUUACCAGGGCUUGACAUCCCACGAACCUGCCUGAAAGGGCGGGGUGCCCGCAAGGGAGCGCGGAGA